Echinops telfairi (small Madagascar hedgehog) is the source of this 1310-nucleotide long non-coding RNA. RefSeq lists it as uncharacterized. Lineage: Eukaryota; Metazoa; Chordata; Mammalia; Afrosoricida; Tenrecidae. The transcript has 3 exons. The record is from RefSeq and is a predicted model, not a curated record.
UGCUUCCACUCAGCCAAUGGCGCUGCAGUCGUGUGCUCACGGUCCCUGCUCCCCGGGUCAAGUUGUGGCAAGCAGAGGAAAGCUGAACCUCAGAGAACACAGGUGGGGACGUAGGACGGACUCCCUUGCCAUUGGAAAGCUGCUCCCAUUCUUGUAAAUAAAUAACCUGGCUAAGUAAGAUGGUCUGAGAGCACUGAGAUGCAGUGACUAUCAUCCACCUUGACGUGAAGCUGAGGCUCGCCUGGGCCAGCUGUCCUGGAAAGUGAUCAAGAAGCACCAGCCUCCUUCCUUGUUUUUUGCCACCACAGCCUGCCACCUUCUCAAGCAGCAAAAUCAGCAUCCAGCAAGGCAGCAGAUGCGCACGUGCUAACAGUGCCGAGGCAGACGAAGACGACCCUGGUGUUCACCGCGAGAGGGGCUGCCGGGGUCCCGGGAGAGUGAGCGGAGAGGAGGUACUCACCAGGUUGACGGGGCUGCUGACAUUGCUGUUCAUCAGAGACACAAGCCCGUUCACGAGAUCACUGGAGAAAGGAAAGGCCUGCUCUAGCAAUGUCUCUGCUCUCUGCUUGUUGACACACGUGAGGGCCGAGCACCAAACACACACAGUCAGUUACCCACUCUCCCAGAACGCAACAGAGAACCCAAACUGAACAGCGGAACGGCGACACAAAACCCUAUGCGUUCAGAUGGCCCAAGUUCAGCUGAAGCCUCUGUGGAUGAAAUGAUCUGAUGGCUGGGUUUGCUUUCAGGGAGCGAGGAGCAGGGUGCCCACGAGGCCAGGCUGAAAGCUGAGUGUUGGGGGCUGAUCUCUCAUCUUUGCAUAUUUCUGAAAUUAACCACCCAACUGUUUAAAGUCCACUAAAAUAUGCAUUCGCCCAAAUAGAUGGGAGUCCAUAUGAGGGUCUGAUGAAAGUCUCUGGUUUAAUGUGCAGCCAGGCAUCUGGCCUAGAUGAGAGCAGAUGAUUAAAACAAGAACAAGACCCACUGAGGUGAAAGAACUUCAAGGAUGUGCUCCCCAAACUGGCACACUACAAAUAAAGCCCAACUCCCCUGCGGGCAGAGAGAAGCUGGAGCAUCUCUCCACUCCCCUAACCUGCCCAGCGCCCCCUCCCACGAAUCGCUCUGGGGUUUCUGAAUGCUGCCGAUGGAGCAUGACUGGGCUGUGAAGGUGAAGGUAAGUAAGCAAAUGUCCGCUUACCAAAGGUUUGGUUCUUAUUGUCAGAGGCUUAAAGUGUGGCUCUGUUAAAAAAAAGUUACUUUGUAAAAAUGACACCUCACUGCCACACACACUUGCUCUUAAGUCUAUUUUA